RNAcentral lists this ribosomal RNA (694 nucleotides) under Clathrinidae sp. 1 JV-2020. Its description in RNAcentral is "partial large subunit ribosomal RNA". It matches the Rfam family "Eukaryotic large subunit ribosomal RNA", at positions 27 to 633 of the family's 3401-position model. The record is from RNAcentral. Lineage: Eukaryota; Metazoa; Porifera; Calcarea; Clathrinida; Clathrinidae.
GCUGCCUUUAAGCAUAUUAAUAAGCGGAGGAAAAGAAACUAACAAGGAUUCCCCUAGUAACGGCGAGUGAAGCGGGAAGAGCUCAAUUUUGAAAUCUGCGGUGCUUGCACCGUCAGAAUUGUAGUUUAGAGAAGUGUUUUCCCCGAGAUGUCUGCCGGCCUAAGUUGCUUGGAACAGCACGUCAUAGAGGGUGAGAACCCCGUCUGUGGCUCGGCGGGCGCUCGGCAUGAUGCACUUUCGACGAGUCGGGUUGUUUGGGAAUGCAGCCCUAACUGGGUGGUAAACUCCAUCUAAAGCUAAAUAUUGCCACGAGACCGAUAGCGAACAAGUACCGUGAGGGAAAGAUGAAAAGCACUUUGAAAAGAGAGUUAAAAGCACGUGAAGCCGUUGAAAGGGAAACGCGCUCGGCUAGCAAUGUACCGCGCUGGUUCAGCCGGUUUGGAGGUGGAGGUUGCGUCUGUCGGAUCCGAAUGGACCGCAGGCGUUGCUGUCCGCUUUCGGACCGCGGUGCACUCUAGCGUGGUACGCGUCAGCGUCGGUUGGCAGCCGGCGACAAGGCCAGCAGGAAGGUAGCUCGGAGCUUGCUGCGAGUAUUAUAGCCUGUUGUGCUGGGUCUGCUGCGGACCGAGGAGAGAGAUGAUCGCUGCAGCGCAUGCCGCAAGGCUAGCUGCCCGUUGUUCGGUGUGCUGCACGA